Molecule: ribosomal RNA, 243 nt
Filed under: Lactobacillus delbrueckii subsp. bulgaricus
Lineage: Bacteria; Bacillati; Bacillota; Bacilli; Lactobacillales; Lactobacillaceae
Description: partial 23S ribosomal RNA
Rfam family: Bacterial large subunit ribosomal RNA
Source: RNAcentral
UCCGAAUGGGGGAACCCAGCAUGUGCAGACAUGCUAUCCUUAAGUGAAUACAUAGCUUAAGGAGGGAACACGCAGUGAACUGAAACAUCUAAGUAGCUGCAGGAAGAGAAAGAAAUAUCGAUUUCCCAAGUAGCGGCGAGCGAACAGGAAAGAGCCCAAACCGGCAGAUUUAUCUGCCGGGGUUGUAGGACUGAGACAUGGCACUUCAGAGGAUAGCAGAAGCGUUUGGGAAAGCGCGCCAGA